GGGGUUGGAUGGGUGACUGGUGUCUUCCUGGGUCUUCAAAACCCUGAGGGGCCUGCGUGCCAGGCUCGGUGGGUUCGAUUCCCACACAAUCCCGCCA
RNAcentral lists this transfer RNA (97 nucleotides) under Planococcus chinensis. RNAcentral describes it as "tRNA-Sec". It matches the Rfam family "Selenocysteine transfer RNA". RNAcentral also lists the same sequence under 14 other names. The record is from RNAcentral. Lineage: Bacteria; Bacillati; Bacillota; Bacilli; Caryophanales; Caryophanaceae.